Molecule: non-coding RNA, 2020 nt
Organism: Cricetulus griseus (Chinese hamster)
Lineage: Eukaryota; Metazoa; Chordata; Mammalia; Rodentia; Cricetidae
Source: RefSeq, a predicted model, not a curated record
GAGUUCUAGUGAUUGCUUAGGCUUGACCCGCCCAGCCGUCGGCUGUCCCUCCUCACUGAUUCUCAUCUCCAGUUUGUUGUGCUUUUUAACUUAAAGGGUGUUAGCAGAAAUGAUACACAUCCACUUUCAGAUUAACCGCUUCUGUAACCGGUUUAUUUACACUGACAUCGUAAUGGAAAUCUCAGUUGGCCGUUUUGGGGUUUUGAUAAGUGUAAAUAUCUGUCUGUGUACCUUAAUCCAAAUAUGUAACAUUUCUAUCCCUGGAAUUUCCUUCUAGUUUAACCUUCCUAGUCAUCUCCGUCCCCCGUCCGGCUCUUGUUUAUUAAUAUCUAAUUUUGCAUAAAUAGAAUCACACCGUUUAAACGGGGAUUAUUUUGCGCGAUAUUUAAAACGAUAUGUCUAUAGUACUGGUUUUGUUUUUAAGACAGGGUCUUACUAUGAAGGCCUUGCCUGACAUUCACUGUGUAUACCAGUCUGGCCUUGAACUCUAAGAGAUCCACCUUCAACAAAACAACUGGCUGCUGAUUAAUUUUUUAAAACUUUUCAUCAAAAACUUGAGAUCGGUGCUACUAUUACAUAUUGGAUGGCGCUCUAGGGCUGGCGAAAUGGCUCAUCAGCCUAAAAAUUUAGUUAUUCAUCUGAGUUGAUUUUCCUACCGGGAACCCAGCAGUCAAAACAAAGCCCUGAAUUGAAUCCUGCUGGUUGCUGGGAUUUAGCCAUAGUGGAAGCCAGUUGGUGGCAGCAGAAGAGGAAAGCUAGGAGACAGAAUGGCAGUGAGGAAAGCCGGGAUUAAAAAAGAUCAAGAUGCUCUUGGAGGACAGAGGUAUUGGAUCCCCUGAAGUUGCAGUUGCAGGCUAUGAGCCACCCAACAUAUGUGUUAAGAAUCAAACUCACUCUAGAAGAAUAGAUUUGUUUGCACUACAUAUCUUCAUGACAUGUCAGGUUACACAGAUGGAAACAUAGCAAUCGAAUGGAGACUAUAAUUUUAUCAUGUCCAGAGUUCCAGACGAGGGUUAGGAUUCAUCAAGGUCGAAGAAAAGGUGAUGGGGACUCCACCACUGGUUGUGCAAUGCUGUUAGUCCUGAUAGGCAGUGCUAUUUCUACUAAUGCUUUAUUUGUACAGACUACUCAAGGACAGAGGGAGCCUAAUCCUUUGUGUAUCUAGAAGUUGAGAAGAAGCCAAGUAGGUUCUCAUUUUCACUUAAGGGGGAAGGAGGAAUAACAGAUAGAAACUGCCUGACCCUGCCAUCACCAGACAUUUAUUAGCGUUCAUGCUGCUAUAAAAUUAAAAUUGUUAAGUGUUCCUUCUGUUGAGAAGGAAUUCACGAGGCUAAAGAUUAACCUUCAGAAGCUGUACCACAAAUGGAAGCUUUGAUUACCAGGUGAAGAAAAGUCUUUUCUGAAUCUUUUUUAGGAGUAAUUUCUUUUUCCUUUUUCUUUCUUACCCCCCUUUUUCUUUUGCUUGCACUUAGCUUUACAGUCAGUUGGAUAAAAUUUGUCCUUCCACUUUGUUCUACAGAUAUGACAGUAGAACAGUAUAAUUGGCCUUCAAGAAGCCAGUGAUCUUGGUCCUUCCAUUUUCAUUUUUUAUUGUAUAUGCCACAGCAUGAGCACCUUCUGGAGUAGAAUGAAUGCAUCUUCAGCAGCUGUUAUGUAAGAAAUAUGCACACUGUGAAAACAUUAUUUUUCUGAGGUUCCAGCAAUCCAGUUGUAUUAUCUGUAGGUAGUUUUAAUAUAUUGACAUAUUUUUCAUCUAAAGUAUAUACUUUUGUUUCAUUAUGAUGACUUUUAAUAUGUACUGGUUGUGAUGCUAUCUUGUUACACAUUUGACAAAGGUACUUCUAAAUUCUUUGAACAUCAUGUAAUUUACUGAGGCUGGAUGAAUUGGCUUACUAAUGUUCUGAUAUGAGGGAAGUAUACAAAAAUAUGCUUAUGAUUCUUAGGUUGAAAGACCCCCAGAGGCUCAGGCCCCCAGGAUCUCAGUCCAGGACUGCAGCCACCCCAAUCACCAGGUGGAGUC